Molecule: non-coding RNA, 72 nt
Organism: Phrynosoma platyrhinos (Desert horned lizard)
Lineage: Eukaryota; Metazoa; Chordata; Lepidosauria; Squamata; Phrynosomatidae
Source: the annotation of a GenBank genome assembly
GCCUGUGUAGUCCAGUGGUUUGAACACUGGACUAUGACUCUGGAGACCAAGGCUUCAAUCCUGGCUUGACCA